AAUCAACGCUGGCGGCGUGCCUAACACAUGCAAGUCGAACGCGAAAAUUCCUUCGGGGAGUGAGUAGAGUGGCGUCCGGGUGAGUAACGCGUGGGUAAUCUGCCUUUGGGUGGGAAGUAACCCAGGAAACUUGGGCUAAUACCGCAUAAUGCAGCGGCUCGACAUCGAGACAGUUGUUAAAGCAGCAAUGCGCCUGAAGAGGAGCCUGCGUCUGAUUAGCUUGGGUUAGGGUAACGGCCUACCAAGGCUGCGAUCAGUAGCUGGUCUGAGAGGACGGCCAGCCACAAU
Molecule: ribosomal RNA, 288 nt
Filed under: uncultured bacterium
Lineage: Bacteria
Description: partial 16S ribosomal RNA
Rfam family: Bacterial small subunit ribosomal RNA
Source: RNAcentral